Long non-coding RNA from Mytilus californianus (California mussel), 2302 nucleotides. RefSeq lists it as uncharacterized. The record is from RefSeq and is a predicted model, not a curated record. NCBI's taxonomy places the organism in Eukaryota, Metazoa, Mollusca, Bivalvia, Mytilida, Mytilidae. The transcript is spliced from 3 exons.
UGGCUGAACCCUUACAAAAUGCAGAUGAUUCUCUUCUUCAUUGUUUUUCUGCAAUCUUCUGCAUGAAAACCUGAUCAACUCAAAUUUACUCAAAGAAAUAUAUCAAAAACUAACGCAACAUGGGAUGUUGCAAAUUGUCGAAUCUUCAGAGGAAAUGAAAGGUAAUUUUUGGUUAUAUUAAAGUAAUGACAUUUCGAACAAGUAACAUACAUAUUUUUCAAGUUGAAUUUUAAACUCAAUCUUUACUAAACGACAAUGAUUGCCAUAAGACAAUAAUUAUGAUGCUGUGCCUUUUUAGCUCACCUUGCCCAAUGGCCAAGCGAGCUUUUCUCAUCACUUUGCGUCCGUCGUCAGUCGUCGUCUUGGGGUAUCUAUUUAAAAAAAUCAGAUGACCCCGCUUGCCAACCAAGAUGGCCGACAAGGCUAAAAAUAGAACAUAGGGGUGGAAUUCAAGUUUUGUCCAUUAUAAUGAAAACCGUUAUAAUAGAGAAAAUCUGACAGGGCAAAAAUGUACAGAAUGUUGAAAUCUACCAGGUGUCCAUAUACGUCAAAACUGCCAGACAACUUUUUAUAGAAGUUAUUGCCCAUAAAUGACAAAUUUUACCAUUUUUUUCAUGUUUGCCUAUUUGGAAAAUUAUAAUUGAUAGAGAGAAACUUUUAAUUGCAAAAAUGAUCAGCAAGACAAGUUCUACAAAUAAGUCACAUGGUCGAAAUCGUCAGUCGAUUCCUUAUUAGAGUCAUUGCCCUUUGAUGACGAUUUUUACCAAUUUGUUGCUUUUUUAGCCUUGUAUCUUUAAUAUUAUAAUAAAUAGACAUAUGGAGGAAAUCAUCCGAUAACUCCUUAUUGGAGUAAUUGCCCUUUAAUGACGAUUUUUGCCAUUUUUUUUUGCGUUUUGCCUUAUAUGAUAAAAAUUAUAAUAGAUAAAUAGACACUUUAAAUCACAAAACUUAUCAAGAAGGCAAGAUCUACUUACAAGUCAAAUUUUACCGAUAUAGUUAGUAGACUGUCACUCUUUAUAGGAGUGAGUGCCCUUAAAUGAGGAUUUUUUUACCCUCUUUUGUGUUUUGAGCAAAAACUAAAAAAAGAUAUAGAGAAACUAAACAGACUAAAUGAUCAGCAAUACAAGAUCAACAAAACAGAUUUUUGUCAUGAAUUCUGUUCUUGUCUACAAUGUUGGAGAGUGUCCUUUGUUGAAUAUGCACACAGACCAUGGAAGUAAUAUUAAUAUUGAAAUAUUACUUCCAUGCACAGACCAAGGUGAGCGACACAGGCUUUUUAGAGCCUCUAGUUUAUUUUUGUUACACGUUUUAAUUUGGUUUAUUUGCAGAAGUGAUAUUUUUACAAAAAGUUAUUGAACAUGAACAAUGGCAAAUUGAUAUGUCUACCCAGAGACAUAUAAUACAAUGUAUUAUAUGUCUCUGGUCUACCGAAGAAAUUAAUGGUAAGUUAUCCGGUACAACAUACAAAACAGACACAUGACGUUAGUUGUUUUGGAAAAUAUUUUCCACUAAAUCAAGAUUUAACGAGAGUUUAGCUUGUUACCAAUAAUAAUUUCAGUCUGCAACUAAUUUUUUAAUUAUUACAAGUAACAUACAUAUUUUUUAAGAUGAUUUUUUAAUUUUAAAACUCAUACUUUAGUGCAAGGGACAUUACUUCGCUGAUUCCAACACUAAACGACAUAUCAUUUGCAAAGUUAAAGUUAUUCAGUGAGUACAAAUUCUUCUAGUUGGGUCACUUGUCGCGCAAUGAUUAACCGAAGUUAAACUAAUUCAGCGAGUUUAUGUCGUCUUUGACAAAUUCAAUUCCCUCUUAUUCUUCUGUUGAAGAUAUUUGGCCUUAAUAUUGCUAAGUUACAUCUGAAGUAUUCAUUCAAUCUAUAUCAUUUGGUCUUCUUUUAUAGGUAGUUUUUAUUAUUUUUUUUUAUUUUGUUGUGUUUUUGCUUUUUUUAAAAUGAUUAUUGCAGCUCUCAUGUUCAGACUAGGUACAAACUGGAAUGUCCGUAUCCCUGCCAUCGUGACUAGUCUUCAGGACAUUUACACCAAACUCGAUGCAUAGUCACAGAAUGAGAUUACACUUCUGUCUGAAAUUAAUUCCUGGAAAGAAACAAUGAUGCAUAAUAUAAGAAAACUGAGACAAUUGAACCAUCAGCUAUAGAUGUGAACAUCCAGAUUCAGCAGAAAUUAAAAGGAUUGAGGACACUGGACACGGGAUUUCCAAUACGAUGUGAAAAUGGAAACAGUACCCUGUGAAGGACAAUUUGAUAUUGAGUACCAUUUUUUUUUAAUAAAUACAUGAAUAGUU